Long non-coding RNA from Heterocephalus glaber (naked mole-rat), 1634 nucleotides. The record is from Ensembl. NCBI's taxonomy places the organism in Eukaryota, Metazoa, Chordata, Mammalia, Rodentia, Bathyergidae.
ACAGCAUGUGGCUCACAUACUCAAGUCUCUUUCCUUUCACCAAGAAAAACAGAACACGAGGCCACAAAAGACUCUUUUGUAGGAGAAGACCACAUGGACACGGUGCAUGGAAACCUCUACUCCUUUCUAGAGCCAGCUUCUGUCUCUGACGGUGUCGGCCGCUUUGCCCCGAGGAAGGCUCCCGGAUGAGACCUUGCCCAUUCUGCUUACUGCUGCAGCCGCCUGAAGGGCCUCAGGGGGCAGACGUUCCAGAGCAACUGCGCCGCCGGGUGUCCAUGGGGACGGCGUCGCCAGAGCUGCGCGGAAGACCCCACACGUGUGACCCUGAAGUGCCGAUGCACACGUGUGCUGAGGCGGGUCAGAUCUGGAGGGAGCUGCCCGGGACCCGCAGGGACCCGCCGGGGCUGGGUGCUGCUCCCACAGACCCACUUCUGGCAGGAAACGCGAGCCGGGAGUGGCACUGAGCAGGGAGUGCCUUUUGUAAACACACUUUCUAGUCUAAGACCCCGAUUACCUCCAGACUACAGCAGUACCUUUUCCUUCCUGUCUCUCUGUAAGAGGCCGGCGCGGGAAGACUCGGAGCCCAGGACAAUCCAAGAGCAACUUCCCCUGAGGGCUCGGGGCUCAGGACGACAUGGCCUCUGUGUGGCCUCUGCACAAAGGCGGGGUCCUUCGAGGGACCCACAGAAGCUGACACCACAUGGAAGCCAGGCCUGCUCCCUGGCCUCACUCGUCUUCCCUAAGUCACUCGUCACCCCGUUGGCCUGGCUGACAGCCCACGCCCUCUCUCUGAAGCGGUAGUCAGGUGUCAACCAUCUGUCCCUUCUUCCAGCCUCACAGAAACUGAGUCACGUAUCGUUCACGUGACGCCUAUGUACCUGCAUGUUGAUAAUUAUUAAUAGUUAUUAACGUGGCUAUUCUCCAAUUAUUUUAUGGACUUGAAAAAUCUGAACAUCCAAGCGUGGGGAGAAAGCCCCUUCCCCCGCUCUCGUGCAGACGCUGCUGCAGCGACAGUCAGCUGGCCGGACGCAGCCUUGCACACGCAUCUAAGAGGCGCGUCUGGCCGGCCCGUUCUCUUGAAAUCUUUAUUGCUGAGAAAUACUGCAAAUAGACAUGCAUCCUAGCCUGCUCUAAGGUGAUAGAUGUUGAUUGGAUUGAUCCACUUCUCCUUAAUUCUCUAAUUAAAAUGAGAAUCAUGCAGAGGUUAUUUUCCAUCUUGAAAGUGGAGACCGGAAUAUUCCCACCCCACCUGACAGGAGGUUGCCUGCAGGUCAAAGAUGUGCCUCUUUAGUGCUAAAACAAAGGAAAGCAGCCAUGUACGUAGCUUAUAAGCAGAAUCCGCUUUUUACCACAUGGCCACCCAUCCACCCUAGCCCCAUGGCCACUGCCAAGGCUUCUCUUCGGAUGAUACCAGCCUAACUGGAUCAGACUCUGCUCUGACCCUUUGUCCUGGGUCCCCUCCCAGCCCUGAGCAAGCUCUCCACCUGCUCUGACAUUUGUCUCUUCUGAAGGAAUGCCAGUGGAAAUAACUGGCCAGAGCCGUAUCUGCAUGCAGCAGUGUGAAUGUGUGCAUGAGGCAGGUGGCCAUAUAUCCUGGACAGUGACCUGUCCUGGCUGAAUCUGACAUACCUGGC